GAUAUAGGAGAAUACUUAACAACAUAAAUACAGCUGCAAGCACAUUCUCAGUAUUAAACUGAAUGCCCACACAUGAAGAAUGAUUUCUGGCCAGUAAAUGAUGUCUUGGAAUUCAAAAAGGAUCACAUAGGAAAAUAGAAAAAGGUAGCACAGCUGCUAGAGAAGUAAAGAGAAGAAGGCUAUGGAUUAUUUCCGUGAUGGUUCCUGGAUUAAAAACUCACCACAAUGAUUGAUUCCUGACUCUCUUUGUAACAUCUCGUAUCUGUACACUAUAUUACUUUUUAUUUCACAUUAUCCUCUA
Molecule: long non-coding RNA, 301 nt
Organism: Uloborus diversus
Lineage: Eukaryota; Metazoa; Arthropoda; Arachnida; Araneae; Uloboridae
Exons: 3
Source: RefSeq, a predicted model, not a curated record